Long non-coding RNA from Limulus polyphemus (Atlantic horseshoe crab), 838 nucleotides. RefSeq lists it as uncharacterized. The transcript is spliced from 2 exons. The record is from RefSeq and is a predicted model, not a curated record. Lineage: Eukaryota; Metazoa; Arthropoda; Merostomata; Xiphosura; Limulidae.
CACUGUUUUAUGUAUCAUUACUAUUCAAACCCAAAUUUUCGAGUGCAUGCCGAUUUUCUCGUCACUAAAACUAUUUUAAAAUGAGGGAACGUACUACUCAUCGUGGCUGUGGACGUAGAUUUGGAUGGUCCGGACGAGGUCGACAUUCAGAUCAUCACCUUUGGAAAAAAGCGAUUAAAUGCCAUAGAUAUUGUUCGGGGCCAACAAAUGAUUCUUGUAAACAUGAAAAGCGGUCUAGGAGUAAUUCCUCUGUACAUCACUGUGGAGAGGGAAUCACUCAUCACAGUCCAUCCCCAACGCAACGCUUUUCUGGAUGGCACAAGCGUUCGAAAUGUUGCUAUUCUGGACCGCAUCCUACCUUGGAACGACCCAUUGGAUCUGGUCACUGUCCACUACAGUUCUCACACAAUGGUGCUCAACAAGAAACUGAGGCAAUCCAGGAAAAAGCAACACAAACUGAAGAAGCCACCGGAAAUAAUCCUUGAAUGAUUUACCUUACCUGGAUUAUAUGGCUAUUUACCAAAAUAUAUGGUAUCUUCACCACAAGUUUAUAUUCUCCUAAUAACCUGGACUACAAGAUUCGGCACUUCCAUUUAUCGGAGUCAUAAGAUUAUGUACUUCCAAUCUUCUGAACCACAAGUUCUGCACUUCCAGUUACCAGAACCACAAGAUUCUGCACUUCUAUUUAUCGGAGUCAUAAAAUUAUGUGCUUCGAACCUUCUGAACCAUAAGAUUCUGUACUUCCAGUAACUGAAUUGCGUCAAUUCUAUUAUCCAGCUUUUUACGAAAUAUAUUUCCUGUAGUUACCGAAUAUUAAUGAAUAAAGUUUUUGAAUUAA